GGUGCCAUGCCGCCGCGGUAAUACCGGCAGCUCAAGUGAUGGCCACUCUUAUUGGGCCUAAAGCGUCCGUAGCUGGCCGCGCGAGUCCGUCGGGAAAUCCACCCGCCCAACGGGUGGGCGUCCGGUAGAAACUGGUCGGCUUGGAACCGGAAGGCUCAGAGAGUACGUCCGGGGUAGGAGUGAAAUCCCGUAAUCCCGGACGGACUACCGAUGGCGAAAGCACUCUGAGAAGACGGCUUCGACAGUGAGGGACGAAAGCUCGGGUCUCAAACCGGAUUAGAUACCCUUGUAGUCC
This 295-nucleotide ribosomal RNA is filed under the name uncultured bacterium. RNAcentral describes it as "partial 16S ribosomal RNA". It matches the Rfam family "Archaeal small subunit ribosomal RNA", at positions 454 to 747 of the family's 1478-position model. The record is from RNAcentral.